This 253-nucleotide ribosomal RNA is filed under the name uncultured bacterium. RNAcentral describes it as "partial 16S ribosomal RNA". It matches the Rfam family "Bacterial small subunit ribosomal RNA", at positions 524 to 776 of the family's 1533-position model. The record is from RNAcentral.
UACGUAGGGUGCAAGCGUUGUCCGGAAUUAUUGGGCGUAAAGAGCUCGUAGGCGGUCUGUCGCGUCGGCUGUGAAAUCCCGAGGCUCAACCUCGGGUCUGCAGUCGAUACGGGCAAACUGGAGUGUUGCAGGGGAGACUGGAAUUCCUGGUGUAGCGGUGAAAUGCGCAGAUAUCAGGAGGAACACCGGUGGCGAAGGCGGGUCUCUGGGCAACAACUGACGCUGAGGAGCGAAAGCGUGGGGAGCGAACGGG